GACGAACGCUGGCGGCGUGCUUAACACAUGCAAGUCGAACGGAAAGGCCCUGCUUGCCGGGUGCUCGAGUGGCGAACGGGUGAGUAACACGUGGGUGAUCUGCCCCUUACUUUGGGAUAAGCCUGGGAAACUGGGUCUAAUACUGGAUAGGACCAUGCUGUAGGUGGUGUGGUGGAAAGAUUAGUUUCGGUAAGGGAUGAGCUCGCGGCCUAUCAGCUUGUUGGUGGGGUAAUGGCCUACCAAGGCGUCGACGGGUAGCCGGCCUGAGAGGGUGGACGGCAACGUUGGGACUGGGAUACGGCGCAGACGCCUACGGGGGGCAGCAGUGGGGAAUAUUGCAAAAUGGGCGCAAGCCUGAUGCAGCGACGGCGCGGGGGGGAUGACGGCCUUCGGGUUGUAAACUCCUUUCAGCCAUGACGAAGCCCUUGUGGUGACGGUAGUGGUAGAAGAAGCACCGGCUAACUACGUG
This 469-nucleotide ribosomal RNA is filed under the name uncultured bacterium. RNAcentral describes it as "partial 16S ribosomal RNA". It matches the Rfam family "Bacterial small subunit ribosomal RNA", at positions 28 to 507 of the family's 1533-position model. The record is from RNAcentral.